UAGUUUUAUUGGGCUGCUAACUUAAUUUUAGCAAAGUAUUGUUAACUAAC
Molecule: transfer RNA, 50 nt
Filed under: Tityus serrulatus (Brazilian scorpion)
Lineage: Eukaryota; Metazoa; Arthropoda; Arachnida; Scorpiones; Buthidae
Description: tRNA-Ser
Source: RNAcentral